CAGCAGCCGCGGUAAAACGUAGGGUGCAAGCGUUAAUCGGAAUUACUGGGCGUAAAGCGUGCGCAGGCGGUUCGCUAAGACAGAUGUGAAAUCCCCGGGCUUAACCUGGGAACUGCAUUUGUGACUGGCGGGCUAGAGUAUCGGAGAGGAAAGUGGAAUUCCUAGUGUAGCGGUGAAAUGCGUAGAUAUUAGGAAGAACACCGAUGGCGAAGGCAGCCCCCCGGGCCAAUACUGACGCUCAUGCACGAAAGCGUGGGGAGCAAACAGGAUUAGAUACCCGGGUAGUCCCUGUCUCUUAUAC
Molecule: ribosomal RNA, 301 nt
Filed under: uncultured bacterium
Lineage: Bacteria
Description: partial 16S ribosomal RNA
Rfam family: Bacterial small subunit ribosomal RNA
Source: RNAcentral